CCUACGGGUGACAGCAGUGAGGAAUAUUGGUCAAUGGACGAGAGUCUGAACCAGCCAAGUAGCGUGAAGGAUGACUGCCCUAUGGGUUGUAAACUUCUUUUAUAAAGGAAUAAAACGAGGCACGUGUGCCUGUUUGCAUGUACUUGAUGAAUAAGGAUCGGCUAACUCCGUGCCAGCAGCCGCGGUAAUACGGAGGAUCCGAGCGUUAUCCGGAUUUAUUGGGUUUAAAGGGAGCGUAGAUGGGUUGUUAAGUCAGUUGUGAAAGUUUGCGGCUCAACCGUACAAUUGCAAUUGAUACUGGCAGUCUUGAGUACAGUUGAGGUAGGCGGAAUUCGUGGUGUAGCGGUGAAAUGCUUAGAUAUCACGAAGAACCCCGAUUGCGAAGGCGGCUUACUAAACUGUGACUGACAUUGAUGCUCGAAAGUGUGGGUAUCAAACAGGAUUAGAUACCCGAGUAGUC
This 460-nucleotide ribosomal RNA is filed under the name uncultured bacterium. RNAcentral describes it as "partial 16S ribosomal RNA". It matches the Rfam family "Bacterial small subunit ribosomal RNA", at positions 338 to 795 of the family's 1533-position model. The record is from RNAcentral.